AGUCUAAUAAGUUUGGAGCACGCUAGUUUCCUGUAUUCCUUGAAGUCAUAGGCAGACGGGAAAAGCAGGCCUUAAAAGAGGGCUACGUGGGGAUACUGGGGUGCUCCCAAUGAUAACAGAACGGCCAGAACUGGCUAGAGUUCUGUUCCUACAAGGUGUCUCAUCUCUGAUGGAUCCUAAGAUGAUUUUGAAAAGAGUGGUUUGACCAGAUGAGGCGGAGGUUGACGAAGAUGAAAUGGAAGACUGCCGUGUCACAGCCUACCUCAGACAAUACGUUUUUCUUUAGAGACAUUGAAAGACCUGGUGGUCUUCUGGACGGGAUGGUCUGUUGGCAGGGGCAAUGCCGACUGUACUUUGAAACUCCCCCUAGGGACAAGAAUGUAUGACACCUUCAAAGAAGCUAUGAAUGCAGCACUGAAAUAAAGCAAUUAUGGUUUUGGCUUGAUCUAGUGUUGUUUUCUGCAAGUUCAAUGCAGUAUAGUCAACAAUUUCAGUGUUUCAGACGGUGACCAGAGUUCCAGUUGUUCAAUGAAUAAACUAUGCAAUGAGAAACUG
Molecule: long non-coding RNA, 555 nt
Organism: Alosa sapidissima (American shad)
Lineage: Eukaryota; Metazoa; Chordata; Actinopteri; Clupeiformes; Clupeidae
Exons: 4
Source: RefSeq, a predicted model, not a curated record